Sphaerodactylus townsendi is the source of this 77-nucleotide small nucleolar RNA. RefSeq annotates it as small nucleolar RNA SNORD83. Lineage: Eukaryota; Metazoa; Chordata; Lepidosauria; Squamata; Sphaerodactylidae. The record is from RefSeq and is a predicted model, not a curated record. The transcript has a single exon.
GCCAUAUGAUGUCACUGUAGACUUCUUGAAGCUCUGUGCAAAAGAUGACCUACAUCUACCAUUGAAGACUGAUGGCU